UGCUCUCCGGAUCAGUGGCGAACGGGUGAGUAACACGUGAGCAAUCUGCCCCUGACUCUGGGAUAAGCGCUGGAAACGGCGUCUAAUACCGGAUACGAGCUGCGAAGGCAUCUUCAGCAGCUGGAAAGAACUUCGGUCAGGGAUGAGCUCGCGGCCUAUCAGCUAGUUGGUGAGGUAAUGGCUCACCAAGGCGUCGACGGGUAGCCGGCCUGAGAGGGUGACCGGCCACACUGGGACUGAGACACGGCCCAGACUCCUACGGGAGGCAGCAGUGGGGAAUAUUGCACAAUGGGCGCAAGCCUGAUGCAGCAACGCCGCGUGAGGGACGACGGCCUUCGGGUUGUAAACCUCUUUUAGCAGGGAAGAAGCGAAAGUGACGGUACCUGCAGAAAAAGCGCCGGCUAACUACGUGCCAGCAGCCGCGGUAAUACGUAGGGCGCAAGCGUUAUCCGGAAUUAUUGGGCGUAAAGAGCUCGUAGGCGGUUUGUCGCGUCUGCUGUGAAAACCCGAGGCUCAACCUCGGGCCUGCAGUGGGUACGGGCAGACUAGAGUGCGGUAGGGGAGAUUGGAAUUCCUGGUGUAGCGGUGGAAUGCGCAGAUAUCAGGAGGAACACCGAUGGCGAAGGCAGAUCUCUGGGCCGUAACUGACGCUGAGGAGCGAAAGGGUGGGGAGCAAACAGGCUUAGAUACCCUGGUAGUCCACCCCGUAAACGUUGGGAACUAGUUGUGGGGUCCAUUCCACGGAUUCCGUGACGCAGCUAA
This 762-nucleotide ribosomal RNA is filed under the name Microbacterium saccharophilum. RNAcentral's name for it is "bacterial SSU rRNA". It matches the Rfam family "Bacterial small subunit ribosomal RNA", at positions 81 to 855 of the family's 1533-position model. The record is from RNAcentral. Lineage: Bacteria; Bacillati; Actinomycetota; Actinomycetes; Micrococcales; Microbacteriaceae.